GAUGAACGCUGGCGGCGUGCCUAAUACAUGCAAGUCGAGCGAACAGACGAGGAGCUUGCUCCUCUGACGUUAGCGGCGGACGGGUGAGUAACACGUGGAUAACCUACCUAUAAGACUGGGAUAACUUCGGGAAACCGGAGCUAAUACCGGAUAAUAUAUUGAACCGCAUGGUUCAAUAGUGAAAUACGGUUUUUCUGUCACUUAUAGAUGGAUCCGCGCCGCAUUAGCUAGUUGGUAAGGUAACGGCUUACCAAGGCAACGAUGCGUAGCCGACCUGAGAGGGUGAUCGGCCACACUGGAACUGAGACACGGUCCAGACUCCUACGGGAGGCAGCAGUAGGGAAUCUUACGCAAUGGGCGAAAGCCUGACGGAGCAACGCCGCGUGAGUGAUGAAGGUCUUCGGAUCGUAAAACUCUGUUAUUAGGGAAGAACAAAUGUGUAAGUAACUAUGCACGUAUUGACGGUACCUAAUCAGAAAGCCACGGCUAACUACGUG
RNAcentral lists this ribosomal RNA (497 nucleotides) under uncultured bacterium. RNAcentral describes it as "partial 16S ribosomal RNA". It matches the Rfam family "Bacterial small subunit ribosomal RNA", at positions 28 to 507 of the family's 1533-position model. The record is from RNAcentral.